UAAGGAAUAUUGGACAAUGGUCGCAAGACUGAUCCAGCCAUGCCGCGUGCAGGAAGACGGCCCCAUGGGUUGUAAACUGCUUUUGUACCAGAGAAAACCUAUCUACGUGUAGAUAGCUGAUAUUAUGGUAAGAAUAAGCAUCGGCUAACUUCGUGCCAGCAGCCGCGGUAAGACGAAGGAUGCAAGCGUUAUCCGGAUUCAUUGGGUUUAAAGGGUGCGUAGGCGGGCUUGUAAGUCAGUGGUGAAAUCUCUCAGCUUAACUGAGAAACUGCCAUUGAUACUGCAGGCCUAGAGUAUAGAUGACGUUGGCGGAAUAUGACAUGUAGUGGUGAAAUACUUAGAUAUGUCAUAGAACACCGAUUGCGAAGGCAGCUAACGAAACUAUAACUGACGCUGAGGCACGAAAGUGCGGGGAUCAAACA
Molecule: ribosomal RNA, 422 nt
Filed under: uncultured bacterium
Lineage: Bacteria
Description: bacterial SSU rRNA
Rfam family: Bacterial small subunit ribosomal RNA
Source: RNAcentral